This 426-nucleotide ribosomal RNA is filed under the name uncultured bacterium. Its description in RNAcentral is "bacterial SSU rRNA". It matches the Rfam family "Bacterial small subunit ribosomal RNA", at positions 357 to 775 of the family's 1533-position model. The record is from RNAcentral.
AGGAAUAUUGGUCAAUGGCCGGAAGGCUGAACCAGCCAAGCCGCGUGAGGGAGGAAGCGUUUCGGCGCGUAAAGUACUUUCAGCGGGGAGGAAGGGAGUAAAGUUAAUACCUUUGCUCAUUGACGUUACCCGCAGAAGAAGCACCGGCUAACUCCGUGCCAGCAGCCGCGGUAAUACGGAGGGUGCAAGCGUUAAUCGGAAUUACUGGGCGUAAAGCGCACGCAGGCGGUUUGUUAAGUCAGAUGUGAAAUCCCCGGGCUCAACCUGGGAACUGCAUCUGAUACUGGCAAGCUUGAGUCUCGUAGAGGGGGGUAGAAUUCCAGGUGUAGCGGUGAAAUGCGUAGAGAUCUGGAGGAAUACCGGUGGCGAAGGCGGCCCCCUGGACGAAGACUGACGCUCAGGUGCGAAAGCGUGGGGAGCAAACAG